RNAcentral lists this ribosomal RNA (939 nucleotides) under uncultured bacterium. RNAcentral's name for it is "bacterial SSU rRNA". It matches the Rfam family "Bacterial small subunit ribosomal RNA", at positions 28 to 1013 of the family's 1533-position model. The record is from RNAcentral.
AACGUACGCUGGCGGCACGCCUAACACAUGCAAGUCGAACGCAGUAGCAAUACUGAGUGGCAAACGGGUGAGUAUAAUGUGGGAAUCUGCCUUUUGGUUCGGAAUAACACGAGGAAACUUGUGCUAAUACCGGAUAAGCCCUUACGGGGAAAGUUUUAAUGCCAAAAGAUGAGCCCGCACUUGAUUAGCUAGUUGGUAAGGUAAUGGCUUACCAAGGCAACGAUCAAUAGCUGUUCUUAGAGGAAGACCAGCCACAUUGGGACUGAGACACGGCCCAAACUCCUACGGGAGGCAGCAGUGGGGAAUCUUGCACAAUGGGGGAAACCCUGAUGCAGCGAUGCCGCGUGAGUGAAGAAGGCCCUUGGGUUGUAAAACUCUUUCGUCGGGGAAGAAAAUGACUGUACCCGAAUAAGAAGGUCCGGCUAACUUCGUGCCAGCAGCCGCGGUAAUACGAAGGGACCUAGCGUAGUUCGGAAUUACUGGGCUUAAAGAGUUCGUAGGUGGUUAAAAAAGUUGAUGGUGAAAUCCCAAGGCUCAACCUUGGAACUGCCAUCAAAACUUUUUAGCUAGAGUGUGAUAGAGGAAAGUGGAAUUUCUAGUGUAGAGGUGAAAUUCGUAGAUAUUAGAAAGAACAUCAAAAGCGAAGGCAACUUUCUGGAUCAUUACUGACACUGAGGAACGAAAGCAUGGGUAGCGAAGAGGAUUAGAUACCCUCGUAGUCCAUGCCGUAAACGAUGUGUGCUAGACGUUGGAAACUUAGUUUUCAGUGUCGCAGCGAAAGCAUUAAGCACACCGCCUGGGGAGUACGACCGCAAGGUUAAAACUCAAAUGAAUUGACGGGGACCCGCACAAGUAGUGGAGCAUGUGGUUUAAUUCGAAGAUACGCGCAGAACCUUACCAACACUUGACAUGUUCGUCGCGACUCUGAGAGAUCAGAGU